GUAAUGUCUGGGAAACUGCCUGAUGGAGGGGGAUAACUACUGGAAACGGUGGCUAAUACCGCAUAACGUCGCAAGACCAAAGAGGGGGACCUUCGGGCCUCUUGCCAUCAGAUGUGCCCAGAUGGGAUUAGCUUGUUGGUGAGGUAACGGCUCACCAAGGCGACGAUCCCUAGCUGGUCUGAGAGGAUGACCAGCCACACUGGAACUGAGACACGGUCCAGACUCCUACGGGAGGCAGCAGUGGGGAAUAUUGCACAAUGGGCGCAAGCCUGAUGCAGCCAUGCCGCGUGUAUGAAGAAGGCCUUCGGGUUGUAAAGUACUUUCAGCGGGGAGGAAGGUGUUGUGGUUAAUAACCGCAGCAAUUGACGUUACCCGCAGAAGAAGCACCGGCUAACUCCGUGCCAGCAGCCGCGGUAAUACGGAGGGUGCAAGCGU
This 435-nucleotide ribosomal RNA is filed under the name Salmonella enterica. RNAcentral describes it as "bacterial SSU rRNA". It matches the Rfam family "Bacterial small subunit ribosomal RNA", at positions 110 to 541 of the family's 1533-position model. RNAcentral also lists the same sequence under 2 other names. The record is from RNAcentral. Lineage: Bacteria; Pseudomonadati; Pseudomonadota; Gammaproteobacteria; Enterobacterales; Enterobacteriaceae.